This is a non-coding RNA of Gekko japonicus, 72 nucleotides long. The record is from the annotation of a RefSeq genome assembly. Lineage: Eukaryota; Metazoa; Chordata; Lepidosauria; Squamata; Gekkonidae.
GGGGACGUGGCUCAGUGGAAAAGCCUCUGCUUCUCAAGCAGAAGGUCCCAGGUUCAAUCCCUGGCAUCUCUA